Molecule: ribosomal RNA, 1162 nt
Filed under: Leptolyngbyaceae cyanobacterium GSE-TBD-MK9-06B
Lineage: Bacteria; Bacillati; Cyanobacteriota; Cyanophyceae; Leptolyngbyales; Leptolyngbyaceae
Description: bacterial SSU rRNA
Rfam family: Bacterial small subunit ribosomal RNA
Source: RNAcentral
GGGGAAUUUUCCGCAAUGGGCGCAAGCCUGACGGAGCAAUACCGCGUGAGGGAGGAAGGCUCUUGGGUCGUAAACCUCUUUUCUCUGGGAAGAAUAACUGACGGUACCAGAGGAAUCAGCAUCGGCUAACUCCGUGCCAGCAGCCGCGGUAAUACGGGGGAUGCAAGCGUUAUCCGGAAUUAUUGGGCGUAAAGCGUCCGCAGGUGGCUAAUCAAGUCUGUUGUCAAAGCGCGGAGCUUAACUCCGUACAGGCGAUGGAAACUGGUUGGCUAGAGUUAGGUAGGGGUAAGAGGAAUUCCCAGUGUAGCGGUGAAAUGCGUAGAUAUUGGGAAGAACACCGGCGGCGAAAGCGUCUUACUGGGCCUAAACUGACACUGAGGGACGAAAGCUAGGGGAGCGAAAGGGAUUAGAUACCCCUGUAGUCCUAGCCGUAAACGAUGACAACUAGGUGUUGCCCGUAUCGACCCGGGCAGUGCCGUAGCUAACGCGUUAAGUUGUCCGCCUGGGGAGUACGCACGCAAGUGUGAAACUCAAAGGAAUUGACGGGGGCCCGCACAAGCGGUGGAGUAUGUGGUUUAAUUCGAUGCAACGCGAAGAACCUUACCAGGGCUUGACAUGUGCAGAAUACCCUUGAAAGGGGGUAGUGCCUUCGGGAGCUGCAACACAGGUGGUGCAUGGCUGUCGUCAGCUCGUGUCGUGAGAUGUUGGGUUAAGUCCCGCAACGAGCGCAACCCACGUUUCUAGUUGCCAUCAUUAAGUUGGGCACUUUAGAGAGACUGCCGGUGACAAACCGGAGGAAGGUGUGGAUGACGUCAAGUCAGCAUGCCCCUUACGCCCUGGGCUACACACGUACUACAAUGCUACGGACAAAGGGACGCUAGCCAGCGAUGGUAUGCAAAUCUCGAAAACCGUAGCCCAGUUCAGAUUGCAGGCUGCAACUCGCCUGCAUGAAGGCGGAAUCGCUAGUAAUCGCAGGUCAGCAUACUGCGGUGAAUACGUUCCCGGGCCUUGUACACACCGCCCGUCACACCAUGGGAGUUGGCCACGCCCGAAGUCGUUACUCCAACCUUUCGGGGGGGAGGGCGCCUAAGGCGGGACUGAUGACUGGGGUGAAGUCGUAACAAGGUAGCCGUACCGGAAGGUGUGGCUGGAUCACCUCCUU